RNAcentral lists this ribosomal RNA (498 nucleotides) under uncultured bacterium. RNAcentral's name for it is "partial 16S ribosomal RNA". It matches the Rfam family "Bacterial small subunit ribosomal RNA", at positions 28 to 523 of the family's 1533-position model. The record is from RNAcentral.
GAUGAACGCUAGCGGCAGGCCUAAUACAUGCAAGUCGGACGGGAUUUGGGAGCUUGCUCCUAAUGAGAGUGGCGCACGGGUGCGUAACACGUAUGUAACCUACCUUAGUCAGGGGGAUAGCCUCUCGAAAGAGAGAUUAAGACCGCAUAACAUUAUUGAGUGGCAUCAUUUAAUAAUCAAAUAUUUAUAGGACUAAGAUGGGCAUGCGAAACAUUAGCUAGUUGGUAGGGUAACGGCCUACCAAGGCUACGAUGUUUAGGGGAUCUGAGAGGAUGGCCCCCCACCCUGGUACUGAGACACGGACCAGACUCCUACGGGAGGCAGCAGUAAGGAAUAUUGGUCAAUGGGCGGAAGCCUGAACCAGCCAUGCCGCGUGCAGGAAGACGGCCCUACGGGUUGUAAACUGCUUUUAUACGGGAAUAAACCUACUUACGUGUAAGUAGCUGAAUGUACUGUAAGAAUAAGGAUCGGCUAACUCCGUGCCAGCCGCCGCAGUAA